AAAAAGCUGUGGAGGGAGCUGAAGGUUCGAGUUGCCAAAUGUCAGCCUCGAAACUUUAAUGACUUGGAGAAGAUCUGCAAAGAGGAGUGGGACAAAAUCCCUCCUGAGAUGUGUGCAAACCUGGUGGCCAACUACAAGAAACGUCUGACCUCCUGUGAUUGCCAACAAGGGUUUUGCCACCAAGUACUAAGUCAUGUUUUGCAGAGGGGUCAAAUACUUAUUUCCCUCAUUAAAAUGCAAAUCAAUUUAGAACAUUUUUGACAUGCGUUUUUCUGGAUUUUUUUGUUGUUAUUCUGUCUCUCACUGUUCAAAUAAACCUACCAUUAAUAUUAUAGACUGAUCAUUUAUUGGUCAGUGGGCAUACUUACAAAAUCAGCAGGGGAUCAAAUACUUUUUUCCCUCACUGUAAGUCCUUGACUCCUUACUCUUCUCCCUGUGCCCCUCCAGAACUGUGCCAGCUCCAGACCCUCCAGCUCAUUGACCAGCUCCCGGCCCGCCAUCUCCCCCACGCCCUCCCCCCAGGGCCCCCAAGGUCCCAGCCUGGACGAAGGGGGAGACAAGACCUGCUCCGGCCAGCUCAGCCCACUCCCCAACCCUACCUACCCCCACAUCCCAGGCCUUGUGGAGGAGAACGCCAACAGAGGUCAGCUGUCCAUUCCUUGUGUCCCAAAGAGCCUAAAGGAUUCCCACAGUCAUGCUACAGGUGUCUUGAUCCCCAGAAUGCAGGAGAGGAAGAGUGGAAGAGCAUUCCGGUGCGAGACGGUCAUGUCAUCCAACAUCUGAGAAACCUGGGGCUCAGUGAUACUUAUGCACACACACAAACUCAAGUACAUAUCGUAUACAUAUAUGCACGCUCGCACAGACACAAACACUUAUAAUUGAGAGACCUACGUCCCGUUUCCUUGCAGUUGCCUAAUAGGAAUGGAGAUUUUUUGAUAUGUUUUAUUGCGUCACUACAGUUGGAUUCAGAUGUUUUAUUGCAAAUUAAAAAGCUGAAAGAGUUACCUCUACCUUUUCUGUGAAUGAGCAGUGUUUGCUUUUUGGAUUUGGGUGUGGCACUCUAGUGAGUAACAUGUCCUGGAGCCUGCAAGGCUUCAGUGAAUGGGUGUUGGCCAGGCAGAUAGUAUGACAGACAGGAAAGGAUCAUCCCGGGGUCACCACAACAAUUAUCACGUAGUGUCCACAAGGUAGAGAGGGUCACAGUGCCUUCAGAAAGUAUUCACACCUCUUGACUUUUUCAAGAUGAUGUUGUGUUACAGCCUGAAUUUAAAAUGGAUUAAAUUGAGAUCGUUUUUUGUCAUUGGCCUACACACAAUACCCCAUAAUGUCAAAUUGGAAUUAUGUUUUUAUUUGAUUUAUGUACAAAUUAAUAAACAAUGAAAAGCUGAAAUAUCUUCAGUUGGUAAGAAUUAAACUUUGUCAUGACAAGCUUAAAUAAAUUGAGGAGUGAAAAUUUGCUUAACCAGUCACAUAAUAAAUUGCAUGGACUAUUGUAUGCAAUAAUAGUGUUUAGCAUAAUUUUUAACAACUAACUUGACAGAGCUUGAAGAGUUUUAAAAAUAAUCAUGUGAAAAUAUUGAACAAUCCAGGUGUGCAAAGUUCUUAGACUUACCCAGAAAGACUCACAGCUGUAAUCACUGCCAAGGGUGAUUCUAACAUGUUGACUCAGGGUGUUGAAUACUUAUCUAAUCAAGAUAUAUUACCUUGCAAAGUACAAACAAUAUAAAAAAUGUCAAUUAAAUCCAUUUUAAUCCCACUUUGUAACACAACAAAAUGUGGAAAAGUAAAGGGGUGUGAAUAGUUUCUGAAAGUACUGUAGCAUUAUAUUCUCUCUCUUUCUGACACACACAGUUCUCUCUUUCUCACACACAUACACAUACCCUUUACAGCCCCUCUCCUCUCUCUCUCUCUCUCUCUGGCACAUACACAGACAACAACAACAUCCCUCCCCCCGUCUCUCUUAUGUACACACUAACACACACUAGUGAUAUGUCCACUGAGGUGACAUUUCCGGGCGGGGGGGGACAGAGGAUGACACCCGUGUCCACCCCUGCUUGAGAGGAAGUGGAUAUCAGAACACAACAGGAAAGACCGAAAAGAAAAACAAGCUGACAUCUUUUUGGACAUUAAAUCACUUCCUUUAGGGCCCUGCGACUGACCCCUUAAGCAGGUUUACCACCGAGCAUCCUCUUGCUGGGCUGGGGAUCGAUGUGUGUGCUGUCUUACUCUUUCUUUUUUGAGGGGGGGGGGGGUAGAUCAGCUUCAAUAUUGCAAAUAG
This is a long non-coding RNA of Oncorhynchus kisutch (coho salmon), 2278 nucleotides long. NCBI's taxonomy places the organism in Eukaryota, Metazoa, Chordata, Actinopteri, Salmoniformes, Salmonidae. The record is from Ensembl.